RNAcentral lists this long non-coding RNA (1409 nucleotides) under Monodelphis domestica (gray short-tailed opossum). RNAcentral describes it as "lncRNA (ENSMODG00000051510.1)". Lineage: Eukaryota; Metazoa; Chordata; Mammalia; Didelphimorphia; Didelphidae. The record is from RNAcentral.
UUCCUUCAUGCUCUAAAGCUAUGGCCCGAUGACCUUGGUUACACUCAUUAGAGAAGAUUUCCUCUUUAGAGGGAAAAGUGGGGCUUGUUCUAGUCUUGGAAUUCAGUGAAAGAAGAGGGAAAGAUGAAAUAAGGGAAGAUGCUCUCCCCUGACCUCCAACAAAAACAAAAACCGCAGGUUUCACCUUCUUCCUUCUGCCUGGAUGGAUCAGAAUGCUUAUGCAAUGGAAAGUGCUGAUAAACUUCAUUUUCCUGGAAUGCUAGAAGUAGAAAGGACUUACUUCAAACACCAUUCAGUCUUCACCCAGGCACAAUACCAGGAGCUUAGGAGACACUGCUCUUCCCUGUACAGAAUUGUUGCAGGAGAUUUCAAGGUGAAUAAGUGUCCUGAGAAGGCUACAAUCAGGUGACCAGUGUGACCAGGAUCUCCAUCGAGGGGAAUGAUCAGAGGACCAACAAGACCAGAUCAUUCAUCAAAAUCAGCGGAUGUCCCAAAGAUAGUCCCAGAGACUGUGGAAACAGUAACCAAGUCUGAUGAAGAUGUCAACCAACAGCCCUAAAAAGCAUCCUACUUGAUCCAACCCAGCAAGGAGCCAGCUGAGCUGAUCCAAUAAGUAUUUCAUCUCCUGUGCAUGCUACUCUCAGAAGUGAACUUGGGUUGGGAUUUCUUAAAGGGAGAAAAGCACUCUGAGAGGCAAGGAAGUUCACUUUCUUGGUUUGAGGGGGCAUAUUUUAAAACAAUCACUUUAAAUUAGUCUCUUCUUCCUAAGAAGUAAGUGGCUAUGUGGUGGGGAGAGUCCACCUCUAUGGGGAGGGACAUUACUGUGCUAAUAUCCUUUGUAUAAAUCAGUAUCAGUAAAUAGCCCUGGGUUAUAAAAAAAUAAUUAGUGUUCAUUGAUAUUGUGAUGAUAUUAACUAGUUAGUUGAUACAAGAGAAUCUCCUAGAUGGGGGCUCAUGAGCAAUAGUAUUAGACUCUCUUACGCCCCAAAGCUAAUCCCAGAAUGCUGAGAAAAGCAGUACCUAGAUCUCUUCUGGGGCACCAACCUUGUAGGGCUUGUGAGAGUUGGGACAGUGAUACUAGAGCCUGUAAUGCAUACAGAUCUUUCUAACUCUGAUAUUCUGUUUCCUGGGGUUCCCUCUCUCCCUUGUCAAGUUCUUCCAGUUAAUAUCGUAUGGUAAUUCUGGUCCUGACUUCUUCAAAAAAGCUGUUGAUUAGAUAAUAUGUAUGAAAAGACUCAGAAAAACCCUGAGCCCUGGGUCUCCAUCAAAUCGCUUCAAGGAUGUUACCAUGCCCAUUCUACCUCUCCAUUUGCAAGAGUUUUGAUUGUCCUUACCCAGAGGAUACAUAGUAUGGGAAGAAAACAGAAUUGAACUUCAAAUCCCAAAGUGAAGAGCCUUUCUGGAUAUUU